Molecule: ribosomal RNA, 424 nt
Filed under: Crocodylus johnstoni (Johnstone river crocodile)
Lineage: Eukaryota; Metazoa; Chordata; Crocodylia; Crocodylidae
Description: Crocodylus johnsoni (Johnstone river crocodile) partial 12S ribosomal RNA
Rfam family: Bacterial small subunit ribosomal RNA
Source: RNAcentral
GCCCAGCCCUCAACAAAGGUGUACUAACUACAAACCACACUCGCCAGAGAAUUACGAGCAAUUUGCUUAAAACUCAAAGGACUUGACGGUGUUUCGAACCCCCCUAGAGGAGCCUGUCCUAUAAUCGACAAUACACGAUCCACCCAACCACCUUUUGCCCCAAGCAGCCUGUAUACCGCCGUCGCAAGCUUAGCCCAUGAGGGACAAGCACUUAGCACAAUAACUCACUCCCGAGCUAGCACGUCAGGUCAAGGUGCAGCCAAUAAGUUGGUAGAGAUGGGCUACAUUUUCUACAUUAUAGAAAUUGGUCACGGAGAGGACUGUGAAACCAGGACUGUCAAAGACGGAUUUAGCAGUAAAUUAGGAGAAGAGUGCCUAAUUGAAGGAGGCCACGAAAUAUGUACACACCGCCCGUCACCUCUCA